UCUGCCUCUCAAUGGCAGCCCAAUUACCCACAGCUGAACAAGAACACAGAGGCUGAAACCCUGAAGUAAACUAAUCUUUCUGGCUAGAUGAAAUGGGAGAGGGACCUCCAGGAGACAGAGCAUACAGAGGAAUUGCAAAGAAGGAGAUUUAAAGAAGUUUGUCCACUAAUUCUGUAUAACACACCAGGGUUCAAGAUGACAUCCGUAGUAUCAUAUAAAGAGUUCAGCUAUAGGUGCUGUCUUGGAAAGGAGAUUCUCUGGAGGUCAAGCUUUGGAUAAUCUCAAAGGAAAACACCUCCCAAACAUUUGCGUUCCCUCUGUAAAUCUUGAAAAUCCUGAAUCCGGAUUGUUUCAUCUGGCAUAAACCUUCAGGUUUGCAAAGUAAGGAGAGAGGUCCGCAGACAGGAGCAGAAAGAGCGUGGCUCAGAGGAAACGCAUGAGGUAUGGCAGCUGUACCGAAGUCACUAAACCAGAGUCAGCGGGAAUGGGGGUGACGCCAUGUGACCUCUGGGACUCCCGGCAGUCUUUUACACUUAAUGGACCACGCCAUGAAUUAAUUUGGUCAGUCAUUCAGUCACUCAUUCAUUCAACAAAUACUUGUUAAACUUACCUUCUAGGGGGUGGAGGGAAGUGUAUUAAUGAGCAUUUUGGAAAAUGACAGAUGUUUCAGAAAGAUCCAAGGGGAAGAAUAAGGAGUGUAAAGACCUGCAGAGGUCACUUUCUUGUGCUGUGAUCCUUUCCCGCCGUCCCCCAAAUGUCCUUCUGCCUCCCACCCUCAUGUCUUUUUCACAUGCUAUUUUCCCUGCCUCAGAUGCCUUUUCUGUCCUCUGCUUAGAAAACCCAUAAUUAUGCUUUAAGAUCCAACAGAAAUACAUGCCCCGUGAGGUGCUCUCAUUGCUCAACUGCUUGAAAAGAAAGCAACUUGAGGAAUUAGUGUGCUUUAUCUAGUGAUUUUUGCCAUAUUUUGUGAAUGUACUUUAAACAAUGUUUUUCAUAUUACCAGUUUCAUUUAUUUUCCCUUCUCUUACCCUAUAUUAGUUUAUGAGCUACUUGAAGGGAGGAAUUAUGUGUACAUAUUUGUUAGCAUAGGUCAGGGGUUGGCAAAACUUCUCCAUGAAUUGUAAUCAGAGAUACUUCCUGAGUACAGAUAGUUUAGGCUUUGUAGGCAUUAACCAUCUUUGCUGCAACUACUAAACUCUGCCGCUGAAGCAGGAAGACAGCAAUAGGCAAUUUGUAAAUGAAUGGAAUGGCCAUGUUCCAGCAGAAGCUUAUUUAACAAAACAAGGCAGAGGCCAGAUUUGGCCCAUGG
Molecule: long non-coding RNA, 1309 nt
Organism: Camelus dromedarius (Arabian camel)
Lineage: Eukaryota; Metazoa; Chordata; Mammalia; Artiodactyla; Camelidae
Exons: 4
Source: RefSeq, a predicted model, not a curated record